RNAcentral lists this ribosomal RNA (465 nucleotides) under uncultured Klebsiella sp. Its description in RNAcentral is "bacterial SSU rRNA". It matches the Rfam family "Bacterial small subunit ribosomal RNA", at positions 338 to 795 of the family's 1533-position model. The record is from RNAcentral. Lineage: Bacteria; Pseudomonadati; Pseudomonadota; Gammaproteobacteria; Enterobacterales; Enterobacteriaceae.
CCUACGGGUGGCAGCAGUGGGGAAUAUUGCACAAUGGGCGCAAGCCUGAUGCAGCCAUGCCGCGUGUGUGAAGAAGGCCUUCGGGUUGUAAAGCACUUUCAGCGGGGAGGAAGGCGGUGAGGUUAAUAACCUCAUCGAUUGACGUUACCCGCAGAAGAAGCACCGGCUAACUCCGUGCCAGCAGCCGCGGUAAUACGGAGGGUGCAAGCGUUAAUCGGAAUUAUUGGGCGUAAAGCGCACGCAGGCGGUCUGUCAAGUCGGAUGUGAAAUCCCCGGGCUCAACCUGGGAACUGCAUUCGAAACUGGCAGGCUAGAGUCUUGUAGAGGGGGGUAGAAUUCCAGGUGUAGCGGUGAAAUGCGUAGAGAUCUGGAGGAAUACCGGUGGCGAAGGCGGCCCCCUGGACAAAGACUGACGCUCAGGUGCGAAAGCGUGGGGAGCAAACAGGAUUAGAUACCCCAGUAGUC